This 19-nucleotide microRNA is filed under the name Chiloscyllium plagiosum (whitespotted bambooshark). Its description in RNAcentral is "microRNA PC-5p-155696_3". The record is from RNAcentral. Lineage: Eukaryota; Metazoa; Chordata; Chondrichthyes; Orectolobiformes; Hemiscylliidae.
AGGGAACAAUGAAAAACAU